UACAGAGACCUCAAGCGUUAUCCGGAAUCAUUGGGCGUAAAGCGUGCCGAUAAGCGGCUUAGUGGGUCCAAGAUUAAAGGCCAAGGCUUAACCUUGUGUUUGUCUUGGAAACUACUAGGCUAGAAGAACAAAGAGGUGGCUAGAACUCUGCAAGUACCGGUGAAAUGGGUUGAUAUGCAGGGGAAUACCCAAAGCGAAGGCAGGCCACUGGGUGUUUCUUGACGCCGCUAGGACGAAAGCGUGGGGAGCGAAGCGG
RNAcentral lists this ribosomal RNA (256 nucleotides) under uncultured bacterium. RNAcentral describes it as "partial 16S ribosomal RNA". It matches the Rfam family "Bacterial small subunit ribosomal RNA", at positions 524 to 776 of the family's 1533-position model. The record is from RNAcentral.